GGUUAAGCGACUAAGCGUACACGGUGGAUGCCCUGGCAGUCAGAGGCGAUGAAGGACGUGCUAAUCUGCGAUAAGCGCCGGUAAGGUGAUAUGAACCGUUAUAACCGGCGAUUUCCGAAUGGGGAAACCCAGUGUGACUCGUCACACUAUCAUUAACUGAAUCCAUAGGUUAAUGAGGCGAACCGGGGGAACUGAAACAUCUAAGUACCCCGAGGAAAAGAAAUCAACCGAGAUUCCCCCAGUAGCGGCGAGCGAACGGGGAGGAGCCCAGAGCCUGAAUCAGCAUGUGUGUUAGUGGAAGCGUCUGGAAAGGCGCGCGAUACAGGGUGACAGCCCCGUACACAAAAGCGCAUGUGCUGUGAGCUCGAUGAGUAGGGCGGGACACGUGGUAUCCUGUCUGAAUAUGGGGGGACCAUCCUCCAAGGCUAAAUACUCCUGACUGACCGAUAGUGAACCAGUACCGUGAGGGAAAGGCGAAAAGAACCCCGGCGAGGGGAGUGAAAAAGAACCUGAAACCGUGUACGUACAAGCAGUGGGAGCACAGGUUUACCUGUGUGACUGCGUACCUUUUGUAUAAUGGGUCAGCGACUUAUAUUCUGUAGCAAGGUUAACCGCAUAGGGGAGCCGCAGGGAAACCGAGUCUUAAUUGGGCGUUAAGUUGCAGGGUAUAGACCCGAAACCCGGUGAUCUAGCCAUGGGCAGGUUGAAGGUUGGGUAACACUAACUGGAGGACCGAACCGACUAAUGUUGAAAAAUUAGCGGAUGACCUGUGGCUGGGGGUGAAAGGCCAAUCAAACCGGGAGAUAGCUGGUUCUCCCCGAAAGCUAUUUAGGUAGCGCCUCGUGAAUUCAUCUCCGGGGGUAGAGCACUGUUUCGGCUAGGGGGCCAUCCCGGCUUACCAACCCGAUGCAAACUGCGAAUACCGGAGAAUGUUAUCACGGGAGACACACGGCGGGUGCUAACGUCCGUCGUGAAGAGGGAAACAACCCAGACCGCCAGCUAAGGUCCCAAAGUCAUGGUUAAGUGGGAAACGAUGUGGGAAGGCCCAGACAGCCAGGAUGUUGGCUUAGAAGCAGCCAUCAUUUAAAGAAAGCGUAAUAGCUCACUGGUCGAGUCGGCCUGCGCGGAAGAUGUAACGGGGCUAAACCAUGCACCGAAGCUGCGGCAGCGAACGUAUCACCCAAGACAACUUUGCGGAGUUGACGAUUGACGGAGCGAAGCGACGUCAAAGCGUUCAUUAAAGUCGAGUUGGCUUAGGGAUACGUUCGUUGGGUAGGGGAGCGUUCUGUAAGCCUGUGAAGGUGUGCUGUGAGGCAUGCUGGAGGUAUCAGAAGUGCGAAUGCUGACAUAAGUAACGAUAAAGCGGGUGAAAAGCCCGCUCGCCGGAAGACCAAGGGUUCCUGUCCAACGUUAAUCGGGGCAGGGUGAGUCGACCCCUAAGGCGAGGCCGAAAGGCGUAGUCGAUGGGAAACGGGUUAAUAUUCCCGUACUUGGUGUUACUGCGAAGGGGGGACGGAGAAGGCUAUGUUGGCCGGGCGACGGUUGUCCCGGUUUAAGCGUGUAGGCUGGUUUUCCAGGCAAAUCCGGAAAAUCAAGGCUGAGGCGUGACGACGAGGCACUACGGUGCUGAAGCAACAAAUGCCCUGCUUCCAGGAAAAGCCUCUAAGCAUCAGGUAACAUCAAAUCGUACCCCAAACCGACACAGGUGGUCAGGUAGAGAAUACCAAGGCGCUUGAGAGAACUCGGGUGAAGGAACUAGGCAAAAUGGUGCCGUAACUUCGGGAGAAGGCACGCUGACAUGUAGGUGAAGUGAUUUACUCAUGGAGCUGAAGUCAGUCGAAGAUACCAGCUGGCUGCAACUGUUUAUUAAAAACACAGCACUGUGCAAACACGAAAGUGGACGUAUACGGUGUGACGCCUGCCCGGUGCCGGAAGGUUAAUUGAUGGGGUCAGCGCAAGCGAAGCUCCUGAUCGAAGCCCCGGUAAACGGCGGCCGUAACUAUAACGGUCCUAAGGUAGCGAAAUUCCUUGUCGGGUAAGUUCCGACCUGCACGAAUGGCGUAAUGAUGGCCAGGCUGUCUCCACCCGAGACUCAGUGAAAUUGAACUCGCUGUGAAGAUGCAGUGUACCCGCGGCAAGACGGAAAGACCCCGUGAACCUUUACUAUAGCUUGACACUGAACAUUGAGCCUUGAUGUGUAGGAUAGGUGGGAGGCUUUGAAGCGUGGACGCCAGUCUGCGUGGAGCCGACCUUGAAAUACCACCCUUUAAUGUUUGAUGUUCUAACGUGGACCCGUUACCCGGGUUGCGGACAGUGUCUGGUGGGUAGUUUGACUGGGGCGGUCUCCUCCUAAAGAGUAACGGAGGAGCACGAAGGUUGGCUAAUCCUGGUCGGACAUCAGGAGGUUAGUGCAAUGGCAUAAGCCAGCUUGACUGCGAGCGUGACGGCGCGAGCAGGUGCGAAAGCAGGUCAUAGUGAUCCGGUGGUUCUGAAUGGAAGGGCCAUCGCUCAACGGAUAAAAGGUACUCCGGGGAUAACAGGCUGAUACCGCCCAAGAGUUCAUAUCGACGGCGGUGUUUGGCACCUCGAUGUCGGCUCAUCACAUCCUGGGGCUGAAGUAGGUCCCAAGGGUAUGGCUGUUCGCCAUUUAAAGUGGUACGCGAGCUGGGUUUAGAACGUCGUGAGACAGUUCGGUCCCUAUCUGCCGUGGGCGCUGGAGAACUGAGGGGGGCUGCUCCUAGUACGAGAGGACCGGAGUGGACGCAUCACUGGUGUUCGGGUUGUCAUGCCAAUGGCACUGCCCGGUAGCUAAAUGCGGAAGAGAUAAGUGCUGAAAGCAUCUAAGCACGAAACUUGCCCCGAGAUGAGUUCUCCCUGAGACUUUAGGUCUCCUGAAGGAACGUUGAAGACGACGACGUUGAUAGGCCGGGUGUGUAAGCGCAGCGAUGCGUUGAGCUAACCGGUACUAAUGAACCGUGAGGCUUAACCUU
This 2990-nucleotide ribosomal RNA is filed under the name Salmonella enterica subsp. enterica serovar Indiana. RNAcentral's name for it is "23S ribosomal RNA". It matches the Rfam family "Bacterial large subunit ribosomal RNA". RNAcentral also lists the same sequence under 1 other name. The record is from RNAcentral. Lineage: Bacteria; Pseudomonadati; Pseudomonadota; Gammaproteobacteria; Enterobacterales; Enterobacteriaceae.